CUGGGAUUCACUACGCUUGCUCUCGUGGUUUCGGUGACUUGCCUCAGCCUCCUUUCAGUGUGGACAAAACUGCGCACUAGGGGGAGGCUGCCCCCGGGCCCCACCCCCCUUCCCAUUAUUGGGAAUCUACUGCAACUGAACCUCAAGGACAUCCCUGCAUCGCUUUCCAAGUCUGUGAGCGUAUGUCUGUGUUUCUGUGCUGGACAGCACAUGCCGUGGGCACACGUGGAAGCCAGCAAACACCUUGAAGGCCUGGAUUCUCUCUUUCCACCAAAAGUCU
Molecule: long non-coding RNA, 280 nt
Filed under: Rattus norvegicus (Norway rat)
Lineage: Eukaryota; Metazoa; Chordata; Mammalia; Rodentia; Muridae
Description: long non-coding RNA NONRATT003811
Source: RNAcentral